This 503-nucleotide ribosomal RNA is filed under the name uncultured bacterium. Its description in RNAcentral is "partial 16S ribosomal RNA". It matches the Rfam family "Bacterial small subunit ribosomal RNA", at positions 30 to 523 of the family's 1533-position model. The record is from RNAcentral.
AUUGAACGCUGGCGGCAGGCUUAACACAUGCAAGUCGAGCGGAGUGAUGGUGCUUGCACUAUCACUUAGCGGCGGACGGGUGAGUAAUGCUUAGGAAUCUGCCUAUUAGUGGGGGACAACAUCUCGAAAGGGAUGCUAAUACCGCAUACGUCCUACGGGAGAAAGCAGGGGAUCACUUGUGACCUUGCGCUAAUAGAUGAGCCUAAGUCGGAUUAGCUAGUUGGUGGGGUAAAGGCCUACCAAGGCGACGAUCUGUAGCGGGUCUGAGAGGAUGAUCCGCCACACUGGGACUGAGACACGGCCCAGACUCCUGCGGGAGGCAGCAGUGGGGAAUAUUGGACGAUGGGGGGAACCCUGAUCCAGCCAUGCCGCGUGUGUGAAGAAGGCCUUAUGGUUGUAAAGCACUUUAAGCGAGGAGGAGGCUCUUUUGGUUAAUACCCAAGAUGAGUGGACGUUACUCGCAGAAUAAGCACCGGCUAACUCUGUGCCAGCCGCCGCCGUAA